Molecule: ribosomal RNA, 388 nt
Filed under: Chthoniobacter sp.
Lineage: Bacteria; Pseudomonadati; Verrucomicrobiota; Spartobacteria; Chthoniobacterales; Chthoniobacteraceae
Description: bacterial SSU rRNA
Rfam family: Bacterial small subunit ribosomal RNA
Source: RNAcentral
UUCACGGAGAGUUUGAUUCUGGCUCAGAACGAACGCUGGCGGCGUGGAUAAGACAUGCAAGUCGAACGGGAUAUUAUUUGUAGCAAUACAAAUGAUGUCCAGUGGCGUAAGGGUGCGUAACACGUGGGGAAUCUGCCGAGAAGUGGGGGAUAGCUCGCCGAAAGGCGAAUUAAUACCGCAUGUGGUUAGGGAAGACAUCUUUCCGACACCAAAGCCGGGGCAACCUGGCGCUUCUUGAUGACCCCGCGGCCUAUCAGCUAGUUGGUGAGGUAACGGCUCACCAAGGCUAUGACGGGUAGCUGGUCUGAGAGGACGACCAGCCACACUGGAACUGAGACACGGUCCAGACACCUACGGGUGGCAGCAGUCGAGAAUUUUUCUCAAUGGG